RNAcentral lists this long non-coding RNA (779 nucleotides) under Rattus norvegicus (Norway rat). RNAcentral's name for it is "long non-coding RNA NONRATT007284". The record is from RNAcentral. Lineage: Eukaryota; Metazoa; Chordata; Mammalia; Rodentia; Muridae.
CUCUCAGUGGAGUCAUGACUAUCCUAAAACUGGCUCUGUAGACUAGUGUGGCCUUGAACCCAGAUCUACCUCCCUCUACCUCCCGAGUGCUUGGGUUAAAGGCCUGAGUCACCACAGCCUGCUGUAGUUUUUUGGUUUUCAGAGGGUUUCCUCUGUUAAGAUGACUGUUAGAUGUCUGGUCCUCCAGCUAGAGGUCACUAGAAAACUACUUAGAAUAUGGUGGAUUGCUUUUGCCAUGAGGGAAACCCACUGGGCUUUUACGAUGUGAUGGGGGCGUGUAGGGCCCAGAAAAGGAGUUUGCUCUGCCCGAGUGCUGUCAGCCUUGCAUUUAGGAAGUCCUACCUAGAAGUCGGUGGGAUGUAGUAGGGCUGAAGCUGCUACAGAUGGAAACCCUCUUCCUUGCAUUCUUUCCCUCAGGAAGUGACCUUGGGUUAGGAAAUAACCUUCGAGUCUUUAUUUCCAAGUUGUUCCCUUUCAUCAGCAUCGGCACAUGGAGGCCCGGAGCUCGUGAGACUUACAAGGCCUCCUCUACUCCAGUAGAGCCGUCAGCAUCAGGCCAGCUGCCCGCCUUUUUCCAGUUUCUUUUCUUGGGAACACUUGGACAGCCUUUUCUCUGGUGUGAGUGCACACCCUGGGCUUUUCCCCUGUUGUGUGGCAUCUGUAUAUUAAAAAGAAAAAUCCAAAUGUGAACCUGAAGUCAGACGCAGAGUCUGGGCAAGAGCAGAAUGAAAGGCUCCAUGUUCCCGUGGUGGUGAGAGCUGCAGCACCUCUCGCUCUAC